GACGAACCGUGCAAACGUUGUUCGGAAUCACUGGGCUUAAAGGGCGCGUAGGCGGGUGAGCAAGUCCGGGGUGAAAUCUUUCGGCUUAACCGGAAAAGUGCCUUGGAUACUGCUUGUCUGGAGGAAGGUAGGGGCAGGUGGAACUUCUGGUGGAGCGGUGAAAUGCGUUGAUAUCAGAAGGAACGCCGGUGGCGAAAGCGACCUGCUGGACCUUUUCUGACGCUGAGGCGCGAAAGCUAGGGGAGCAAACGGG
This 253-nucleotide ribosomal RNA is filed under the name uncultured bacterium. RNAcentral describes it as "partial 16S ribosomal RNA". It matches the Rfam family "Bacterial small subunit ribosomal RNA", at positions 524 to 776 of the family's 1533-position model. The record is from RNAcentral.